This 516-nucleotide ribosomal RNA is filed under the name uncultured bacterium. RNAcentral's name for it is "bacterial SSU rRNA". It matches the Rfam family "Bacterial small subunit ribosomal RNA", at positions 8 to 518 of the family's 1533-position model. The record is from RNAcentral.
AGAGUUGAUCCUGGCUUAGGAUGAACGCUAGCGACAGGCUAACACAUGCAAGCCGAGGGGCAGCAUAAAAGUAGCAAUACUUGGUGGCGACCGGCGCACGGGUGAGUAACGCGUAUGCAACCUACCUAUCAGAGGGGAAUAACCCGGCGAAAGUCGGACUAAUACCGCAUAAAACAGGGGCACCGCAUGGUGAUAUUUGUUAAAGAAAUUCGCUGAUAGAUGGGCAUGCGUUCCAUUAGGUAGUUGGUGAGGUAACGGCUCACCAAGCCGACGAUGGAUAGGGGAACUGAGAGGUUGGUCCCCCACACUGGUACUGAGACACGGACCAGACUCCUACGGGAGGCAGCAGUGAGGAAUAUUGGUCAAUGGGCGGGAGCCUGAACCAGCCAAGUCGCCGUGAAGGAAGAAGGAUCUAUGGUUCGUAAACUUCUUUUGCAGGGGAAUAAAGUGCAGGACGUGUCCUGUUUUGUAUGUACCCUGAGAAUAAGGAUCGGCUAACUCCGUGCCAGCAGCCGC